AGCAGUCGCCGCGGUAAUACGAAGGGUGCAAGCGUUAAUCGGGAUUACUGGGCGUAAAGCGUGCGUAGGCGGUUUGUUAAGUCUGUUGUGAAAUCCCCGGGCUCAACCUGGGAAUGGCAAUGGAUACUGGCAAGCUAGAGUGUGUCAGAGGAUGGUGGAAUUCCCGGUGUAGCGGUGAAAUGCGUAGAGAUCGGGAGGAACAUCAGUGGCGAAGGCGGCCAUCUGGGACAACACUGACGCUGAGGCACGAAAGCGUGGGGAGCAAACAGGAUUAGAUACCCGCGUAGUCCCUGUCUCUUAUAC
RNAcentral lists this ribosomal RNA (303 nucleotides) under uncultured bacterium. RNAcentral describes it as "partial 16S ribosomal RNA". It matches the Rfam family "Bacterial small subunit ribosomal RNA", at positions 507 to 807 of the family's 1533-position model. The record is from RNAcentral.